Molecule: non-coding RNA, 1383 nt
Organism: Ictidomys tridecemlineatus (thirteen-lined ground squirrel)
Lineage: Eukaryota; Metazoa; Chordata; Mammalia; Rodentia; Sciuridae
Source: RefSeq, a predicted model, not a curated record
ACCCAAGCAUUCAGGGGAGGUCAACCAAGUAGGGCUGUAAGGGACUCCCACCAGCAAGCUUUUUGCUUGCUUCUCCCUUCUGCUCAAGUGUGAUGGGGCGGCGCUGGCAGGAGGAAACCUUUCUGAUAGAUUUUCUGUACUGGAGCACAUAAGUCCUGGGUGGUCCAAUCUGGGGAGACAUACGCAGAAGGAAUACCAAGCAGGGGCAUGAUGUGAGGGGGGUAGAGCCCCUGCGGGAGGACUAUGCCUGGUACUCCUCCCACAUCCCAAGUUCCAGAAGAGGGUCUGGGCACCGCAUUCACCCCUCAGCUCUUUGGUGGAGGAAGUACCACGGAUGGAGGAACUACCCGCCACCGCAACCGCCAAGAGCGCAGGCAGGAGGGACCAGUUUGGCCCUGCCCCUCAUUUUACAGUGUGUGGGGUGUUGAAGUCGGACGGACCCGGCGGUGGGAGCGAGGGCUUGGCAGAAGCGAGCCCGACUGCCAAAUGCUCCUUGUAUAGGUUUGACCUAUUGUCUUUGUUCCAUUCUUCUCAUUCUGUUCUGUGACCCUCGGGAAUUGUGUGAUGCUAAAUCAGGACCCAACCUGAUCUAAGUCCCUGGUGAGGAAACACCCAUCUCUGGGUGGGGCGGAAGGAACUGAGGGGAGAGGUGCUGGCCCCACCUACCUGGGAGAGUUUGCAGAAGAUGCCACAGAACUUGCCAAGGAGGUCUGGAAGAGCCCAGCUGGCCCGCCUGCCACCACUACCCCUCACCUCACCUCUAGGGGCAGGGCCUGCAGUAGGAAUCCGGCAAGUCCCUUUAACCUUCUUGCAGCUUAGUUUUUUACCUUUAAAAUGGGGUUAACGAGGCCUAGGGUUGUUGGGAAGCUCAAGUGAGACAACUGAUAUGAAAGUGUGAUAAUUCUUCUGAAUUCCUUUACCUCUUUUCUUCUGAUAUUCACACUUCCUCCUUCUCAUCUCAUUCCUGGGCUCAGAAGAGAAAUUGUCAAGCAAGAGAUGUUUUAGGAAUCAGGCAGAGCUGUUCCAAAUUCUGCCAUCAUCACUCAUGCAUUAUAGUUCACUCACCUCUGUACUUCAAUUUUCUCAUUUGUAAAAGAGCAUAUUAUUUUUAUUACUCAGCUCUUAGGUAAGUGUUUAGCCCCAAACCUGGUAGACAAUAAGCACCCACUAAGGGUCAGAAUGAUAGCCAUUAUCAUUAGCUGUUUUCCUUCUUUUAUUUUUUUCCUUCAACUGAAUGCUGUCUAAGUCAGCCAUAGGCUAGCUUCUAUGUUAGGUCUAAGAUCAGGCAGAGAUACAAGGAUAGAGAAGUGUCCUCUAUCUUUCUAUGUCCUCUUUUCUCUCUCUCUCUCUCUCUCUCUCUCUCUCUCUCUCUCUCUCUCUCUC